CGCCCCCUGUGGUGCGCGUGAUUGCUCCAGUUAUCCUCUGAACCUAUAAGUGCUUUUAACGGGAGCCGAAUUGCGAUGCUGGUGUGCAUGCCCGCCUUGAGCGGGAAGCCUGAAAGCCUCGC
Molecule: small RNA, 122 nt
Filed under: Gammaproteobacteria bacterium
Lineage: Bacteria; Pseudomonadati; Pseudomonadota; Gammaproteobacteria
Description: partial 6S RNA
Rfam family: 6S / SsrS RNA
About the family: E. coli 6S RNA was the first non coding RNA to be sequenced, but its function was unknown until recently. It consists of 184 nucleotides that fold into an extended hairpin structure with a large single-stranded internal bulge.
Source: RNAcentral